AUGAAUGCAGAAAUUACUAGACAGCUGUGAACAAAUGUUUGUCCAGGGUGGCCAGCAUGCUGGACAAUGGUUCAUGUUUUAUGAGUCCAGAGAUCGACAACUUCAGGAUACUUGGCUACAGAUCUUCCACCAUCUGGCUCUCUCUCUGUCUGCUUUCCUGUCUGAAAACUGAAUAAAGGCCACUAGUCCCACAAAGCAGCAUAUAAAAAAACCAUCUAAUUUAAUGAAUGGUUUGAAGACAGCAGUUAUUUGUUUUCCAUGUUAGCUAGACAUCACAUCCACAACAGUUCAUUAUAUAAAACUUAGCCUUCAGCAAUACUUGUAAAUUCUUACACACUUUAUUAAUCUUCUUGAGUGUCAAUGCACUAGCAAGGUUAAUAACUUACACAUUUUCUUUCAUCUCAAAUGAAUGACUCAUGUACUUUUUUGAUAUCUCAAAUAGAGUAUUGUGCAAAAGUUUACUAAAAAUCAGGGGGAGCGACUUCCGGUUAUGGCGUCUUGCUGAGCGGUUGGUUGCUGGGAUCUGAGCUCCGACCAAUAUUUCCUUUCUUUGGAUAUUUACACCACUGCUAAGUUAUUUUUUGUAAGAAUAUAAGUUAAAAGACUCAAUUCAAUAUUCCAAGAUGCCGAUUAAAAACAAGUUAAAAGUGAAAACAACCCCCAAAGAGGGAGCCGAAGAUGACGCUAGCAGCUAAGUGGAAACCUAGCACAUGGAGGGGGCUAGCGCUAGCUCCCAGGUUCCUGAAACUAACCUCAUGGAAGCGAUCCAAGCCUUAAAAUCUCAUUUCUCCACGCAGCUACGUGAGAUUAUAACUUCAAACCAAGAAAUUAAAGACACAAUUGGAGUGUUCCUCGAGAGGCUUACCUCUGGAGGAUAGCGUUGCCUCGCUAACAAACAAAGAAGCGACCUCAAAGAAGAAAAUCCAAGAGCUCACUUUGAAGGUGGAUGUGCUUGAAAAUGACUACCGGAGACCUAAUCUAAGACUUGUGGGAUUACCCGAGAAAACAGAGCAAGGGGACAUCGCAACUUUUCUCCAGAACUGGUUGAUGGAGGUUCUGGGGAGGGAUGCAUUUCCAUCUCCCCCCAUUAACGAAUGGGCUCACAGGCUGCAGGGGCAGAGCUCUCCAGGCGCCCCGCCACGAAUGAUCAUCAUAAAAUCCCUAAACUACCAAGACAAGAUGAAUGAUGACAGCAGCCCGUCUGAAAGGAAAGGAUGGCCAGCUCUGUCCUGGGUUGCUCCCUUGACCCAGUUCAGGCGACCGGAAGCAGAAUCACUCUGGAUAAAAUGGCAUCACUGUUGCACAAUGUCUCUCACCCCGUGAACGAAGACGUUACAGAACAGGAGAGCUCCUUUUGUGACAGACUGUUGCAUCCGAGGUGCACAAAGGAGCCUUACUGUAGGUGCUUCCUCCCAGCAGCUGUAAGACUCAAACAUCCAACAAACUGUUUUUUUUUUCCUACGGCUUUUAGCAUUUUGAAUAAUAUUCCUGCUCUAAUUUUCACAUCUCUGUUGUAUUUAAAAAAAAACAACAAAAAAAAGUAUCCAAUUUACGGUAAAAUACCGACAGUUGUGGUUGCCAGAACGUUACCAUAAAUAUGGUAAAAUAUCAAAGCUGUUUAGAAACCCAUCACCAGCUGCAUGUUUAUAAAUCCAGCUAGUGAAAUUCCUGUUUGCACUUCCAUUUAUAAGACAUGAGCAUGUUUGUUUUUUUUCUGUAUCACCAGAUGCUAUUUAUAAACUCUGCUUAAAACAGGGGAUAUAAUUCCUCAGUCCAGCUCCAUUUAUAGAUAUUGCCAGGUGUUUUAAUAUCACCAGCUGCAGUUUAAAAACCCUGCUUGGAGCGGCUUGUGGAACUGUGCGCGGACUCGUUUUCAAACUCUGUCCUGCCUUUCCGUGUAAUCACCAGAUGCUGCUCAUGAAUUCUUCUUGAAACGGUGCGCGUAGCUGAUUUGUUGCAGGUUUGUUAACAAACUAUCAGGACUUUCAAUAUCACUGGCUACCGUUUAUGCAUUUCCAUGAAUAAAGCAACAUUUAUAAACCAGAGUAGGAAAAUUAGAACAGAUGUGGACCAAUUAGGAUUUUAUUGUAUUUGCCAGCUGCAUAAAGGGUCACAAAAAUGCAAUGCCAUCCUUCAGAAAACACAGAAAUGAAUGCAAUUCUAAAUAUAGCAGAGGGAGGACCAAAUGUGUACUGGCAGAAAUGUCUAAAAUGAUGCAACAAUAGGGACCAGGUGGCUCCCUGACUGUGGAAAACAAAACCAGUUUUUCUCUUUUUUUGUUUUUUCCUCCAAAGAAUCAGUUAUGAACUGGCUCCAGCUCCAGUGCUAGUUUUGUUUUCAAGCUGCUUUGUAAAACCUAACAGGUAGGGCUAGCAGGGCUCAUCUCAGUACAAAAAGUGGUCUGAAAAGCUGCCUUUUUUCCUCUGAAAGUGGCGUAAUUUUAUUAGUCCAUGUAAAGUGUUUAAACGCCUAACAGGCAAAAAUCCACGAUUAAUUAAUACUAAAAGAGUAACCAGACGUAGGAUGACUUUCAGAAUAAAGCCAUAAGCCAAACAUUUUAUCAGACAAGUCGGCGCUGCGUUUUCCUUUCCUUGCAUUCUUCUCCUCUUCUGUCCAAAUCACACAAAUGAUUCUGAAAGUGAAGCGCAGGCUUCGGGGAGUUGAGGAGAGGUCAAUCUCGCCCUCCGCAUAAUCGUUGUGUUGGAGUGUCUGAUUGUAUUAGGGUUGAGUGAAUAACUGUAGCUGGCAGAAAUAGCAUCAUGUUUUGAACUAUCAGUGCAAUUCAUAGCCUUGUGACUGACUCAGUUUCUAUUCAUUCUCCCACGCUCUUCUGAAACUCUUUUUUUUUUUUUUUUUUUCCUAAAGUGGUUGAAGGACAAACGCGGCACAGCAGCGAGGGUGUGCUGGAAUUAAGAAUGAAUGCGUUGACUGACCAACUAUGAUUAUAGGAGCUGAUCAAAAGCAGGCACUGCAGAACGUGGGCUUCACUUACAAAAGAAAGCAUUUUUUGUUUUACCUGUAAUGUUUUAACGUGUUGUAGGAAAAGGAAGAAAAAAAAACAAAACAGUAUUAGUUGUUGAACUAUCUGUAAGCAGAGGUGUGUUUAUUGACAGUUUGAGGACAAUGCUAACUCUAACUUUGGCUUUACGAGAUGAGAGGCUGCUUUGGCUGUUGCAUUUUACUGAUUUCGGGAGCAACACGGAAGAUUAAAACUUGCUUCUGUGUUUUCUGUAGCAUGACACGAAGUAACAAAUACAAUGGAUUGGAUUAUUUAUUGUGUUUCCUCUCUAAAUAAAAAAAA
Molecule: long non-coding RNA, 3301 nt
Organism: Poecilia latipinna (sailfin molly)
Lineage: Eukaryota; Metazoa; Chordata; Actinopteri; Cyprinodontiformes; Poeciliidae
Exons: 2
Source: RefSeq, a predicted model, not a curated record